Molecule: long non-coding RNA, 548 nt
Organism: Wyeomyia smithii (pitcher-plant mosquito)
Lineage: Eukaryota; Metazoa; Arthropoda; Insecta; Diptera; Culicidae
Exons: 2
Source: RefSeq, a predicted model, not a curated record
CGUUGUGAAACUAAAUCCAUUCAGCGUCACGUGUGAUAUAUCAUUUAUUGACACAACUGCGCUUGGGUAAAUAAAGACAUUCUAUAUAAAAACGGCAUCCAGCAUUCACUCGAACAAUCAUCGACAAGAAAGAUGAAAAUAUUUCACAUUUAUUUCUAUCUAUUGAUAGUGCUGCUAGCCGGCUGCCUUCUGCCAGCAGCGGUCGAAGCGGGUGAUAAAACUUCUUCGGAGGCAAUCCGCAAGGCCAAAACAGGAUCGGUGGCCGAUAAGCCGAAGGCGAAACAGGUUCAACAGCAGAGAAAAAUCACGGGCGUUAAUGAGGGAUAGGACUCUUCCUGCUCUCGAGAUCGAAUAGUUUUUCUCGUCGUCGAUGAUAAAAUGAGUUCAGUGUUAGCUAAUAAAAAUUCCAGGAACGCACCAAGUUUUUACGUUUUGGACGAACUAAAUUCUAGUUGACAAAUUUAUAUAAAUUGUAAAGAAUUUUCUAAAACGAAGCGAAAGCGAUAAUGUCAAAAAAAUUAAAUAAAAUAUGUUGAAACUGAACGAGA